RNAcentral lists this ribosomal RNA (459 nucleotides) under Triticum aestivum (bread wheat). Its description in RNAcentral is "partial small subunit ribosomal RNA". The record is from RNAcentral. Lineage: Eukaryota; Viridiplantae; Streptophyta; Magnoliopsida; Poales; Poaceae.
AUGGUGCCGCGAGCACCGGCGACCAGAGAAAAAAGUUGCAAUCGUUGUCUAGGAAGCUACUACCGGCGACAUCAAUUUGUUAGCACCAUUCACGGCGGUGACCCGCUGGAAUCAGCGCUGCUACAGCUGUGCUUAUGGGAGCUGCAGCCAUCGAAGCUUUUUCACCGGAGAAUGCUACAACGUUGUCUCGCACAAGCUACAACCAUAUACGCGCAAAGCUGCAAGCGUUGCUUUUUUUGCUACAACCACUGCUACGAACUGCAACCAACAAGCAUCAGGAAGAAGGCGCGUUGCUGGCGAGCACGAGGCCGAGGACGAGCACGGGCGGGGCGCAGGUGGAGGGUGAACGCGGCAACACGGGGGUUAGCUGUGCGAGAUGGGGGAGUGGGGAUGAGGGGGAGGGGCAGCUGCGCUAGAUGCGAAGAGGAAGAAGCUGGGCGAACAGAUUUUUGUUCGUAG